RNAcentral lists this ribosomal RNA (253 nucleotides) under uncultured bacterium. RNAcentral describes it as "partial 16S ribosomal RNA". It matches the Rfam family "Bacterial small subunit ribosomal RNA", at positions 524 to 776 of the family's 1533-position model. The record is from RNAcentral.
UACGUAGGGUGCAAGCGUUGUCCGGAAUUAUUGGGCGUAAAGAGCUCGUAGGCGGUUUGUCGCGUCUGCUGUGAAAUCCCGAGGCUCAACCUCGGGCCUGCAGCGGGUACGGGCAGACUAGAGUGCGGUAGGGGAGAUUGGAAUUCCUGGUGUAGCGGUGGAAUGCGCAGAUAUCAGGAGGAACACCGAUGGCGAAGGCAGAUCUCUGGGCCGUAACUGACGCUGAGGAGCGAAAGCAUGGGGAGCGAACAGG